RNAcentral lists this long non-coding RNA (615 nucleotides) under Suricata suricatta (meerkat). RNAcentral's name for it is "lncRNA (ENSSSUG00005003589.1)". The record is from RNAcentral. Lineage: Eukaryota; Metazoa; Chordata; Mammalia; Carnivora; Herpestidae.
AAAUAUUUUUUUAAUAAUAUAAAAAGGAAAGGAGAACCUCCCCUUAGCUGUAUCUUAACAUGCAGGAUUACAAGCCCAGACAUCUACUUGGCCUAUCCCAGAGAAGGCUGUUCGGAGUCCGGGCACAUGUGGCCACAGAAGGGUCAGCUGCCUCUGGACCCCAGUUUGUUGUAAGGCGAAGUGUGGGCUCAGCGCUGCUAGACAUUUCAGUAACCUCUACACCCAGCCUGGGGCUCGAACUCACAACCCCAAGAUCAGGAGUGGCUUGCUCUUCCAACUGUGCCUGCCAGGCACCCACAGUGGCUCCUAUAUUUAGGAUGUGGUACUGUGCACUGUGGAACCUGUGGACCAUUGCCCCUCCGUGGCUUCCUUCUCAACUCCAUCUUUACAUACCUGCCCCAAAAGGUCCUCAAUCAUAAAAGGCUGCAUUCCACUGCUGUCGGUGAGAGGUGACGGUGAUCUGGACUGGAGCUGGGGAGGUGGAAAUGGAAAGAAGCAAUCUGAUCUCAGAUAUAUUGUGGAGGAAUUUCCAAUAGGACUAGCUGAAGGUCUGGAUAUAGGAAGUAAGAGAGAAAGAAGCAGGAACCAAGGAAGAAAACUUCUAGGUCUCUAACU